CGAGUUUGAUCCUGGCUCAGAACGAACGCUGGCGGCAGGCUUAAUACAUGCAAGUCGAACGGCUGUAGCAAUACAGCAGUGGCAGACGGGUGAGUAACACGUGGGAACCUACCUAGGGGUACGGAAUAACUCAGGGAAACUUGUGCUAAUACCGUAUACGACCUCAGGGUGAAAGAUUUAUCGCCCCUAGAUGGGCCCGCGCUGGAUUAGCUAGUUGGUGGGGUAAAAGCCUACCAAGGCGACGAUCCAUAGCUGGUCUGAGAGGAUGAUCAGCCACACUGGGACUGAGACACGGCCCAGACUCCUACGGGAGGCAGCAGUAGGGAAUCUUGGACAAUGGGCGAAAGCCUGAUCCAGCCAUGCCGCGUGAGUGAUGAAGGCCUUAGGGUUGUAAAGCUCUUUCGCCAGGGAAGAUAAUGACGGUACCUGGAUAAGAAGCCCCGGCUAACUUCGUGCCAGCAGCCGCGGUAAUACGAAGGGGGCUAGCGUUGUUCGGAAUUACUGGGCGUAAAGCGCACGUAGGCGGCAUUCCAAGUUGGAGGUGAAAUCCCCGGGGCUUACC
Molecule: ribosomal RNA, 562 nt
Filed under: uncultured bacterium
Lineage: Bacteria
Description: bacterial SSU rRNA
Rfam family: Bacterial small subunit ribosomal RNA
Source: RNAcentral